This 868-nucleotide ribosomal RNA is filed under the name Fuscoporia sp. MUCL 44810. RNAcentral describes it as "LSU rRNA". It matches the Rfam family "Eukaryotic large subunit ribosomal RNA", at positions 66 to 915 of the family's 3401-position model. The record is from RNAcentral. Lineage: Eukaryota; Fungi; Basidiomycota; Agaricomycetes; Hymenochaetales; Hymenochaetaceae.
UAACAAGGAUUCCCCUAGUAACUGCGAGUGAAGCGGGAAAAGCUCAAAUUUAAAAUCUGGCGGCUUUGUCGCCCGAGUUGUAAUCUGGAGAAGCGUUUUCCGCGCUGGACCGUGUACAAGUCUCUUGGAAUAGAGCGUCAUAGAGGGUGAGAAUCCCGUCCAUGACACGGACGACCAGUGCUUUGUGAUACGCUCUCGAAGAGUCGAGUUGUUUGGGAAUGCAGCUCAAAAUGGGUGGUAAAUUCCAUCUAAAGCUAAAUAUUGGCGAGAGACCGAUAGCGAACAAGUACCGUGAGGGAAAGAUGAAAAGCACUUUGGAAAGAGAGUUAAACAGUACGUGAAAUUGUUGAAAGGGAAACGCUUGAAGUCAGUCGCGUCUUGCUUGACUCAGCCUUGCCUCGGCUUGGUGUAUUUCAAGUAGGACGGGUCAACAUCGAUUUUGACCGGUGGACAAAGGAAGGGGGGAUGUGGCACUCUUCGGGGUGUGUUAUAACCUCUUUUCAUAUACAUCGGUUGGGAUCGAGGCCCGCAGCGCGCCCUUGUGGCCGGAGGUUCGCCUCACGUAAUCGCGCUUAGGAUGUUGGCAUAAUGGCUUUAAGCGACCCGUCUUGAAACACGGACCAAGGAGUCUAACAUGCUCGCGAGUGUUAGGGUGGAAAACCCUUGCGCGUAAUGAAAGUAAAAGUUGAGAGCCUCCGCAAGGGGGUGCACCGACGCCCGGCCCUGAAGUUCUCUGACGGUGCUGCGGUAGAGCGCGUAUGUUGGGACCCGAAAGAUGGUGAACUAUGCCUGAAUAGGGCGAAGUCAGAGGAAACUCUGGUGGAGGCUCGUAGCGAUUCUGACGUGCAAAUCGAUCGUCAAAUUUGGG